UUUGAGACAGAGAGAAGAGUGUGUGAGGAUAGAGGCAGAGAUGGAAAUUAUGCAGCUACAAACCAAGGAGCUCCUGGAGCCACCAGAAAGUGGAAGAGGCAAGGAAUGGAUUCUCCUCGAGAGCCUUUAGAGAGAGGAUGGUCCUGGUACGGUAGGAGAAUUGAAGGAAAGGUGAACGUGGACUGUCUGGAGGGCAAGGCCUCCAUGGAGGUGGGAAGGAUGCUCUACUGCAUGGUAAAGGAUUAGAAUAGGGCACCUCUGGAAGAGUACUCUGGCAAAGAAAUAAAAAAUUUCCCUUGCCUUGGAGAAAUCAGUUGAGGGUCUUGGGAAUGGGUUCAGGGUGAAGUCAGCAUGAAGCACAUUGGUCUCUGAUUGCUGCUGAGUCCCACAUCUUUCAGGACAGCAGAGCACUCCCAGGUCACUGCAAUGUGAGUUUCAGAAAAAUGCACACUAGUCAAAAGACAUUCCAUAUAUUCAGCCAUUGCAAAUGAAGCAGAAAAAAGUUGCUAACAAAAAAGCGUGUUACUAUUUCUGCCUUCUAGGAGAAUGGCAUAAUAUAUUUUUUCCAAGGUAAUGAUUCUAUGGCUUUGAAAUAGCACUGAUGGGACUUUUGAUCGAGAAAAACAAAACUUCCUGGGCAUGUUGAGGAUGAGUCAGGAUGAGACAGGGAUACUAUUUUACUGCUUUGAAUAAUAAAGGAAAAAAGAUAGAGGCGGCUAAGGUCUGUGAAUGGAAAGGGAAGUGGGGUGUGAGGAGGAUGGAGUAAGAGUGAGAGGUCGUAAGAACAUGGAGGGAGACUGUUCGAUCAAUGGAGGAAUAUGGUCCUGGGAGAUUCCUUGUAUUCAAGAAUAGCCAAUACAUGUCUACCUUUAACUGGUAUUGGAAGAAAGUUGUUUCCUGCUCUGUAUUGUAAAUACUCUCUAUUACCCUCAAGAUGUCAGUAAAAUUCUACACACAGCAAUCUUGUGUUAGAGAUGCUUUUGGAAUUACAGAAAAACCCUGCUAUCAAGUGGUGGGGAAGUGGAUGGCAAGAGGAUGUCUGUCAUAGAAACUGGGGAUAGAGGGGCUGGCAAUGGCAGAGAUGCAGGUGGAGUGGACUGAUUCAGGGGAGAGGCAGACCUGAGGGAGGGGCUGUGGCCUGGGAGCUUGAUCUAGGUAUUAAAAAGAGGACUCAUCACAGAAGAAUGGGGAUCAUUCAUACUGAGGGUAUGUGGGCUUCUAAGUAAAGUUAGAUGUGCUCAGGACUGGGGUUUUGGUGGGUAGGGUUUGGGUGUGCUUAACUGAGGCAGAUUUGCGAGCUUAUUUUACAAACCGCUGAGUUCAUUGCUAUAUGUGCUCAACUUAACACUUUGGUAAAGCACCUGCCCUAUAUUUAGAAUAUUCUCACGAGGCUGUGUGUGCCUGUGUUUGGAGGGUGCAUAUUAAGGAUGGAGAAAGUGGAAGGUAACUAUUCCAAUUAGAAAAUGCCCUGAAACACAUGCUUUGUGGAAAACUACGCAAGAAGACUGAUCCUGGUGGAGCAGAACUAUGAUCUCAAUUGAACAAGGAACAUAGAGAAAUGGAAAGGCAGAGUGACAAAGGUAUUGAUUCAGUGGGAGCCAUUGAAGAUGACUGCAGAAGGAACAGAAAGUUAUAACCCAGGAAUAUCCCAUUCAGUAUUGUAUCUGAAGUCAUUUUGAGAAGAGAAAAGUGACUGGUUUGAAUCUACUUCAUCAAAACUAAUCAAAGUGGUAAUUGAUGUUAUUAUGUGUGUUCAGUCUGCCAUAUUGCCAUAAUUAUUAUUCUUAUUUGUUAUUCUUCUUAGCCAUAAAGGUUUUAAAUAUCCAGUAAAAGGUAAGGGAGAAAUAUCAUCCAAGGCUGAGGUUUCAUUUCACCCAAGGCUGUCAAAUUUGUGUGAGCGUAAGUUAACACAAAGUUAAAUAUUACUGUUUUAGUGAUUAUAGUGAUAUGCUGAACAAGGGCUACUUUGGGGAAAAGAGAGCCUGCUUGUGUAUAGAGUGCUUCACUAUGUCUUCCCACAUGAUUAGAUUGAUGUCUGGGUUUACUAUUCCUUCUGAGGCCUGAGAGAAGAUUAGAUCACUCAUUCCCAACUGGUCAUUUCUCUCUGUGGAUGGGAGAAUCAGUGCUAAUUGAUACUUUUUAUAUAUUUAAUUACACUUAAUUACUUCUGUCUGGCUGCCCUGAAACCAAUAGGAGGAAAACAGUGUUCUACAUGCAAAUUUUCUAACAUAAACAUUUCUUAACCUUAUUUGCUUCAAGAUUGGUCCAAAUAUAGGAUCUUUAAGAUAAAAGCUGUCUAAAGUGGUUUCUUCUCUGUAUUUUGGUCCUGUCUCUGGAGUCCCUCUCUCUGGAAAUCAUUUCUGAGAUUUCUGUGAUAGGGAAUUUGCUCAUUUCCUACUUCCCUGGCACCCAACUCUUCUGUAUUAGGUCUUAAUAUAUUUAUUUCCUAGUCUUUUUGUUAGCAUGCCAAAAUAAAUCCAUAACCUUUGGAUCUAUCUUUCUCCCUUUGAACCAUCAGACACAGUAUUUUGGUCACAGUGCUCUUCACGAUGGCUUUGAGAAUAUCACCCCCCUUUCAAAAGAAAAAUGCUUUCUGUUUUUGUUUUUCUGGAUGAAAUUUCCUACCUGGUCCCAGCAUGCUGCUGCCCGUUUCCUGCUCUUCCCUAUGUGCCAGUCAAGCUGUUUUAUUUGACCUCCCCUGAUAUCCUGCAUUUUAUCCAUCUGGAAUGUACUCUUUCACUCCUCUUUGUCUCUUUGAAUCCUAGCACCUCUCAAGGGACAGAUCCUACCUCUCCUGCUCUGCCUCCCCUGACCACUCCAAGUCUGAUGAGACUUUUGCUUUCUUUAACAUCCUAGGAGUUUAUUGUCAAGUACAUUGAUUUGGUAAUCUCGAGAGUCAACCUAGGGAAUUCAAUAGAAAGGAGGCCUUGGGAAAAAACUUCCAGUAAAAACUCUCUGCUACUUACAGAUAUAAAGAGUUCAGGUAUGCUUAUUAAUCUUCAUUGAUUCUCCGUUUUUUUUUUUAUUGCUAAAAUGGAGAAAAACUACUCUGUCUACUCUUCUUACUUAUCAUGAGGAUUAUGAAAUGUCAUGUAUAUGUAAAAGUCCUUGUAAUCUGGAAAGGCCUGUACAAGUGUAAAUUAUGAUAUCUGCUGUUAGAGAUCUGUUAUUGAACCGGCUCACUAUCAAAACCUUCCUUUAUUAUUUAAUGUCUCCCAUAUCUAUGUUUAAUCAGUAUAACCCAGCCAGGGUGCAAAUAUAGUGACACCACAUAAUAUUUUUCUAAUUAAUUGCUUGACUGGCUACUCUCUCCCCACCCCACCACCAUGCCUACCAGGAUUAACAGGAAGUCUGUUACCUCCCUCUUGGAAUUCUCCAAUGCCCACCUUCUCCAGUUGUUUAACAACUAAAGGUUUACUCAGGUCCCAAAGGCAAGUCUUGUUUUUAAAAGAAAGGCAGAGAAAGGACUAGAAGUUCCAGUGAGUCCAGUGUUGAACAUUGGUUUCUCCCAGCUUGGUAGACACUUCUGCAUUCAGAAAUAAUUCUCUUGGCUGGACAUGGUGACUCAUGCCUGUAAUCCCAGCACUUUGAAAGGCUGAGGCAAGAGGAUCAC
Long non-coding RNA from Sapajus apella (tufted capuchin), 3613 nucleotides. RefSeq lists it as uncharacterized. NCBI's taxonomy places the organism in Eukaryota, Metazoa, Chordata, Mammalia, Primates, Cebidae. The record is from RefSeq and is a predicted model, not a curated record. The transcript has 3 exons.